AAGUUUUAAAUUUACUUAUAUUUACUGCACAGUUAAAUAAAUUUAAACUUUGUUUGCAGCAGAAUAAACAUGGCAUUAUUUUGAAAGAUGACAACAUAUUGACAAUUUUCGCUGAACAAAGCGAUAGUCCGGCAAGUCUGAGGUUUUUUUUUCCAACGCAAAGGUUUCGGAGUCAUACUAAUCUCUGCGCUGCAAGCACAAAAUAUCGAAGAGGCAAAUUUUUGACGUCUUCGAGGCAAAUUUUUGACGUCUUCGAGACAAAUAUAACUCUUUAAAAAUUCCGCAGAUCUUAAGUUUACGUGGAAAUUAAAAAAAGUAGAACCUUUCAGCGAAUCGAAUAUGUAUUUAAAAUCUCAAAUUAAAAAAAUGUCAAAAGUUUUUGAAAGGUUUGAUUCUCCUUAAUUCAUUAUGGUGUUUGUAUACUCCGUAGUUUUUUACAGCCAAUGUAAAUAUUUUACUAUUAAAAAUGGGAAAAUGGACGGGUGGUGGGUCCAAUGCACUUACGAUAUAUAUUUAACUUUCUAACCAAAAAAAACAGCGUUUCCUCAAAUAUUAAAACCCUAACUCUUUAAAAUUUUGUAGUCGCAGGACAAAGUGAAGUCACGACUCGUUAAUUUUUAAGUGCAAAAAAAAAACACAAAACUUAGACGUGCUGGACUAUGACUGUGUUCAGCGAAAAUAAUCACAAUAACGUCUUUUUUCGAAAAUACACCAAGGUAAUUCUAUUGCAAAAUGCUGUUGUACCCUGUUGCUAGUAGCUAAUAUAUUAAUUCAUUGCAGCAAAGAGCAAAAUUGUCUUUGUAAAUACGGGUAGGUUAUAUUCGUAGUAGAUAUGUAAAUAUUUGCGUGAAUAGUUACUUGUAUGUAUGAUAGAAUAAAAAUAUUUUAUCUAGAUUUAAAAAGUAAAGAUUAUAACAAUAAUAACUCAUAAUAGUUGCAUAGUUACUGAUCAAUUUUCUAGAUCCUUUCGAGCUAAGUAUUUUAAGAAUUAAAUAUUUGCAUACAUAUACAUACAUAUAUACAUAGGUGUGUACAAAAAAUACUAGGGUGUUAUAUUAAAACGUAGCUGAUUUAUAUGUGCAUACAUAUACAUUUUGAAGAGAAAUAUUUAUAUAUUUAGAAUAUCAAUAAGAGCUAUAUUAAUACCAUUUGUUGCACCUAAUAAUCUAUUAUAGGCUAAGAAAUAUCAUAAGAUACACAAUAUAUAUAUGUAGCAUAGAUAAAAGCUUAGGAUAUACAUUAGUAUUAAUGGCAAACCAAUAAACUAAUUGUAAAAUAGAAUAUGUAGAGAAUGCAUUUGGCAAAUCGAAGCGUUGCGAUGUUACGGUCGUAAGUUGCUUUUAAUUCUUUCGGCAAAAAAUUAUAAGUUAAAAAAUUUCUCCGAUGUAAGGACGAUUUUAAUCAGUACUAAUGGGAACAAAUUAGUGACAAUUAGAAAUUAAAGUAUUAUUUUAGACUUUUAUAUUCUUCGGGAUCGAUUACGCAGGCUUCAUAUAACAAGACUUUAACUCAAUAAAUAAACUCAUUCGACGUCAGUCGGAAGGACUGGUAUUAUUUUUAAUAUUUCCAUUUUUUCGAAGUCAAUUACACAGAUUUCAUAUAACAAGUCUUUUUAACUCAAUAAAUAAGCUCAUUCGACGUCAGUCGGGAGGACUGGUACUAUUUUUACUAUUUCUAUUUU
Molecule: long non-coding RNA, 1681 nt
Organism: Rhagoletis zephyria (snowberry fruit fly)
Lineage: Eukaryota; Metazoa; Arthropoda; Insecta; Diptera; Tephritidae
Source: RefSeq, a predicted model, not a curated record